CAUGCUUAGUAACGGUGGUCCAUGCUCCAGGUCCCGGCCAUCUUUCUUCUUUUGCACAGCAGCCUAAAUGAGCACAACAGACCAGAAGUUCUAUGAGGGCGUGAUAGAAACUCCAGUCCAGACACCCAGGAUGGAGAAGCACAUUAGGCACCUCUCUGGGAGGACAACUGGAUUCACCAUCUCACCCACCUUCACGCCUCAACCAGAUUACUUGAAACACAUCACUUAAUUUCACAGUAGGGAAUAGAUCAGAUGCUGAUGAAGUCAAAGUCACCUACACCUGCCAUAUUACUCUA
Long non-coding RNA from Nannospalax galili (Upper Galilee mountains blind mole rat), 296 nucleotides. RefSeq lists it as uncharacterized. The record is from RefSeq and is a predicted model, not a curated record. The transcript has 3 exons. Lineage: Eukaryota; Metazoa; Chordata; Mammalia; Rodentia; Spalacidae.